GCAUAGCUUAGUGGCACAGUACCUGCUUGGGAUACAGAAUGUCCUGGGUUCAAUCCCCAGCAUCUGCA
This is a non-coding RNA of Podarcis lilfordi (Lilford's wall lizard), 68 nucleotides long. The record is from the annotation of a GenBank genome assembly. Lineage: Eukaryota; Metazoa; Chordata; Lepidosauria; Squamata; Lacertidae.